UUUUCCACCGAAGCCUCGUUCUGUGGCUUUUGGGCCCCGCUGAGGAGCCCCGGGAGCCUCGUCCUGUGUUUGCCACAGGCUCCACGUGGGCAGCGCGGGCGAGUUUCCAGCGCAGACCUUGCGGCGAUAUGGAGCGAGCACGUGUCACGCUGAUGGGAACUGUCACUGUGUGCGCACACAGCUCCAUCUGUGGCCCCGCCGUAAGAAACCCUAAUUCUGCCCGAGUAGCCUGUUUGCAGCUGUCUAGCUCUCAACCUGUGCGCGCAUCUCGCCAGGAAAAACCAAAGGGAAAUAAAGUCGGAGUGGUGCGUGUCUAACCCUAGGGAGCCCAUUAGGAAUGUUCUCCUCCUGGCAAACCCAGCUGGGCAUAAAACGAGCCCUUUUGUCUGAAGGAGUCACUGGAGGGGCUGCAUAACGGGAGAAUCGCUAUAGCUGUGCCGCUGAGAAAGCCCAGACAGAGACCUUGUGACAACAGGAAAUAUGUUUUAGAAGCUCAGCAAUGAAUGCAGCUGAUUGCAAAUAACAGACUAUUUCAGCAAGAACUAGGGGCAGUUCAGCCAAAGCCCUAAGCCUGGAGUGGUGCCCUGGGAUGUUGCUAGUUUUAUCCUAACUUAAGUGUGAUAAUAAGAUCACAGCACUAUGCAAAUUCAUAACCUUUAGUAUGUUUGUAAACAAGUCACUCUUUACCUUCAAACAGACUUGCUCUUAUUACUCAAAAUAGUGCUACUCCGUCCUGCUGAACAAUCAUCCCUAUUUAGUUAAUAGCGUCGUACCGCAUCCAUAUUUUUGUUCCGUGUUUAAAAUUAAGCAAUCAACAUUUCUCAUAAGUCCUAAUGACUAAUUAUUUGAUAGCAUGUUCUAUGAAAGAUUGCUGCACAUAUGAUGUACACUUUCUUUUAGCUUCCGCUGUUUAUAAAUAUUUAUCGCUGAACAUUGUAAAUACAAAAGCGGCUGGUACUUCCAGCAGUGAAAAU
RNAcentral lists this long non-coding RNA (974 nucleotides) under Apteryx rowi (Okarito brown kiwi). Its description in RNAcentral is "lncRNA (ENSARWG00000002269.1)". The record is from RNAcentral. Lineage: Eukaryota; Metazoa; Chordata; Aves; Apterygiformes; Apterygidae.